UAGUGUAGCGGUGAAAUGCGUAGAUAUUAGGAGGAAUACCAGUGGCGAAGGCGACUCUCUGGACUGCAACUGACGCUAAGGCACGAAAGCGUGGGUAGCGAACAGGAUUAGAUACCCUGGUAGUCCACGCCGUAAACGAUGAGUGCUAGGUGUUGGGGGUCAAACCUCGGUGCCGCAGUUAACGCAUUAAGCACUCCGCCUGGGGAGUACGUUCGCAAGAAUAAAACUCAAAGGAAUUGACGGGGACCCGCACAAGCAGCGGAGCAUGUGGUUUAAUUCGAAGCAACGCGAAGAACCUUACCUGGACUUGACAUCCCUCUGACCGUUUCUUAAUCGAGAUUUUCCCUUCGGGGACAGAGGAGACAGGUGGUGCAUGGUUGUCGUCAGCUCGUGUCGUGAGAUGUUGGGUUAAGUCCCGCAACGAGCGCAACCCUUGUCUUUAGUUGCCAUCAAGUAAAGUUGGGCACUCUAAAGAGACUGCCAAGGUAAACUUGGAGGAAGGUGGGGAUGACGUCAAAUCAUCAUGCCCUUUAUGUCCAGGGCUACACACGUGCUACAAUGGCCGAAACAACGGGCAGCUAAGGAGCAAUCCGGAGCAAAUCCUACAAAAUCGGUCCCAGUUCGGAUUGUGGGCUGAAAUUCGCCCACAUGAAGUCGGAGUUGCUAGUAAUCGCGAAUCAGCAUGUCGCGGUGAAUGCGUUCCCGGGUCUUGUACACACCGCCCGUCACACCACGGAAGUCGGAAGCGCCCGAAGCCAGCUACUUAACCGUAAGGAGAGAGCUGUCGAAGGUGAAGCCAAUGACUGGGGUGAAGUCGUAACAAGGUAACCGUA
This 833-nucleotide ribosomal RNA is filed under the name uncultured bacterium. RNAcentral's name for it is "bacterial SSU rRNA". It matches the Rfam family "Bacterial small subunit ribosomal RNA", at positions 671 to 1504 of the family's 1533-position model. The record is from RNAcentral.